CNGUCCAGUGCCUGGCAGAGCUAAGGGGGCUUCAAUCCUUACUCUUUAUCCCCAUCUUCGCCCAGGCUUAACGGGGCCUUACUUAUUCAGGGGGGAGAGUGGAGCCUCGAAAAGCACUGUUGAGAGGAAGAUCCUUGGCCCCUCUUCAUUCUCUACAGGGUUCCAAACCUUUCUUCAACAUAGGUGACAACGAGCCAGGCAGAGAUGGAAGAGAUCAAACACGGGAAUAAGAAGCAAGCUCGCCUUCCUUUUUGAUCAUUUUGAUAGAGGGGGAUGAAGAAAGUGGACAAAACAGACUCGCAUUUCUCAUCGAACAAAUACAGGAAAAGAAUCAUAUUGAAAACGCUCCUAACCCAACCCCUUCCUUCGUAGAGCCCGUGUAUUGUAAGUGAUCCGAACCUGCCCGGAGC
Molecule: long non-coding RNA, 410 nt
Filed under: Solanum pimpinellifolium
Lineage: Eukaryota; Viridiplantae; Streptophyta; Magnoliopsida; Solanales; Solanaceae
Description: long non-coding RNA (SPIM_LNC000258)
Source: RNAcentral